RNAcentral lists this ribosomal RNA (497 nucleotides) under uncultured bacterium. RNAcentral describes it as "partial 16S ribosomal RNA". It matches the Rfam family "Bacterial small subunit ribosomal RNA", at positions 29 to 507 of the family's 1533-position model. The record is from RNAcentral.
ACGAACGCUGGCGGCGUGCCUAAUACAUGCAAGUCGAACGAGAGCGACCGGUGCUUGCACUGGUCAAUCUAGUAGCGAACGGGUGAGUAACACGUGGGUAACCUGCCCAUCAGAGGGGGAUAACAUCCGGAAACGGAUGCUAAAACCGCAUAGGUCUUCGAACCGCAUGGUUUGAAGAGGAAAAGAGGCGCAAGCUUCUGCUGAUGGAUGGACCCGCGGUGCAUUAGCUAGUUGGUGAGGUAACGGCUCACCAAGGCCGUGAUGCAUAGCCGACCUGAGAGGGUGAUCGGCCACAUUGGGACUGAGACACGGCCCAAACUCCUACGGGAGGCAGCAGUAGGGAAUCUUCCGCAAUGGACGCAAGUCUGACGGAGCAACGCCGCGUGAGUGAAGAAGGUUUUCGGAUCGUAAAACUCUGUUGUUAGAGAAGAACAAGUGCUAGAGUAACUGUUAGCGCCUUGACGGUAUCUAACCAGAAAGCCACGGCUAACUACGUG